CUGUAUAAAAUACAUAUGCCACAUUGCGUGAAAUAUAUAUAUGUGCACGUUCACACGUGUUGUAUACUAUGUUAACGCAUAUGACGGUUCCGUGAUAUGUUACACGCUUGGUCGUAUAUCUAUAUUGCGGUCCGUUUAAAUAUUGUCUGACGACGCACGUUGAUUAUAAUUUAUAUAUCAUACGACAAUGUUAGAGAUUAUCAUAAUAUUUGUCGAACGAUCGACGGUGUUACCGCUGAUGCGCUUCGCGGCGUAAGGCGGGACGCUUUCGACUCUUCGAGUUGUAGUGUUACGUAACAGUAUCGCACAUACGAGAGGGUUGAUGGCGUGUGCGUGUUUUCUAAACAAGUUCAACGCCGUUCACAUGUCGCGAGACACAUGGAUAUUAUCAAUCUCUAUAUAACAAUUGACGUAUACACAAUGAUAUAUAAGAAGUAAAUCAUCGACAGUAGGCGGACUCGACGUCCGAAGAGCGCGUCGACGCCGUAGUCGUUAUCGAUCGUUAUUAUUGUAAUAAAUGUAACGUGUCGUAGCGGUUGCGUCGUCGUAACGCUGACGGAUAUCGCGUCUGCCUCAUAUUUUUAUCGUUGGCCUCAGAUCAGGGAGGAUCACCCGCCGAAUUUAAGCAUAUUAGUAAGCGGAGGAAAAUCCCGCCGUUGUUCAGGCGGCGGGAGAUGUGGUGUUCGGGAGGUUCCGCUUUCUCGUCGCGAUCGCUCCUGUCCAAGUUCGUCUUGAACGGGGCCGUUUUCCCGUAGAGGGUGCCAGGCCCGUAGCGACGGAGGAUCGCGGCGAGAGGGACUCUCCUUAGAGUCGGGUUGCUUGAGAGUGCAGCCCUAAGUGGGUGGUAA
RNAcentral lists this unclassified non-coding RNA (848 nucleotides) under Catocala kuangtungensis. RNAcentral's name for it is "partial contains ITS2 and 28S rRNA". The stretch from base 589 to 848 matches the Rfam family "Eukaryotic large subunit ribosomal RNA", at positions 1 to 302 of the family's 3401-position model. The record is from RNAcentral. Lineage: Eukaryota; Metazoa; Arthropoda; Insecta; Lepidoptera; Erebidae.